This 153-nucleotide non-coding RNA is filed under the name Bathycoccus prasinos. Lineage: Eukaryota; Viridiplantae; Chlorophyta; Mamiellophyceae; Mamiellales; Bathycoccaceae. The record is from RNAcentral.
UCAAACCUCUUCUUCCCUUUUUUCCACGCCCCACGCAGAGCGCAAAAAAAAAGAAGAAGAGAGGACGAGAAGGAAGAGACCUUUUGUUCGUGUCUUUGUCUUCGUCUUCGUCUUCUUCGGAGAGAGAGAGAGAGAGAGAGAGACGCGCGCGAG